RNAcentral lists this long non-coding RNA (606 nucleotides) under Androctonus crassicauda. The record is from RNAcentral. Lineage: Eukaryota; Metazoa; Arthropoda; Arachnida; Scorpiones; Buthidae.
UAGCGAAGCUUGUCCCGCCGGACUAGAACCGCAUAUUUUCUCCUGCAUCCGGUUGCCUUAGCGAUCGUAACAGACGAAGUAUGCGAUUUCCGGUCAACGAAAAGAGCCCGGUAGGGCAGAGGGAGCUAAGAUCGGUCAGAAAGUUCCCAAUCGGAAGUUGCCGCAAUGUAAAUUUGCCGUGCGGACGGAAUGGAUGCGAAAGUGUGCUCGAACGGAUAUCCGACAGAACGGAAGCAAUCAUAAACAAAUUCAAUUGUCUACGCCGAUUCUCGACAAUGGACGGUAGCGGCCGCAGGCAAACAGUUCGCCGGAUAAGAAGUAAGGGCGAGACACACGAAACGCACUCCGAGAACGUCAGCGGAAAACAGAUUAGUUGGAUGUGAGCCGGAACUCAGUGUUGUUUUUGCAAAUGUUCGCCUUCCCCGUACGAUGGCAACAAAAUUGCAAGCAAAGUGAUAAGUUUAACGAACCUAUACGCGCCCCACCCGCUACAACGGGGGUCGGCGAAAGGAUCGAAAUGUGCCGAUCGCCGCGGUCUGGGAAUAGCACCAUUGCAACUAAGAAGAAGUGCUCGAUCAUCAACAGAAGGUUAUACUGUUUUUAUUA